AUUGAACGCUGGCGGCAUGCCUUACACAUGCAAGUCGAACGGCAGCACGGGAGCAAUCCUGGUGGCGAGUGGCGAACGGGUGAGUAAUAUAUCGGAACGUGCCCGGUCGUGGGGAUAACGUAGCGAAAGCUACGCUAAUACCGCAUACGAUCUACGGAUGAAAGGCGGGGGGAUCGCAAGACCUCGCGCGAUUGGAGCGGCCGAUAUCAGAUUAGGUAGUUGGUGAGGUAAAGGCUCACCAAGCCGACGAUCUGUAGCUGGUCUGAGAGGACGA
RNAcentral lists this ribosomal RNA (274 nucleotides) under uncultured bacterium. RNAcentral's name for it is "partial 16S ribosomal RNA". It matches the Rfam family "Bacterial small subunit ribosomal RNA", at positions 30 to 303 of the family's 1533-position model. The record is from RNAcentral.